This 86-nucleotide small nucleolar RNA is filed under the name Erythranthe guttata (spotted monkey flower). RNAcentral describes it as "Mimulus guttatus (spotted monkey flower) Small nucleolar RNA snoR31/Z110/Z27". It matches the Rfam family "Small nucleolar RNA snoR31/Z110/Z27". Rfam says of the family: This family contains several related snoRNAs including R31, Z27 and Z110. Family members belong to the C/D class of snoRNAs which contain the C (UGAUGA) and D (CUGA) box motifs. The record is from Rfam by way of RNAcentral. Lineage: Eukaryota; Viridiplantae; Streptophyta; Magnoliopsida; Lamiales; Phrymaceae.
GUUAUCAAGUGAUGAAUAUUUUAAUUAAUCUUAGGACACCUUUGGACGCUGUUGCGAAUGAAAAUGAAUCUUAUUCUGAUGAUGAC